GGGUCCUCAUUUAAGGAGGACCCAAAAAGAUGCUAGAAUGGAUGGCUGUGGAUGUGGAGAGGGGCCCAUAGAGAAUGCCUAUGUAAAUGGCUUCAAA
Molecule: long non-coding RNA, 97 nt
Organism: Etheostoma spectabile (orangethroat darter)
Lineage: Eukaryota; Metazoa; Chordata; Actinopteri; Perciformes; Percidae
Exons: 3
Source: RefSeq, a predicted model, not a curated record